GCCUUAUAUAGUUUGUUUUUUGUUCUCACUUAUUUCAAGACACUUUUUGUCAUCCAAGGACUUUUGCUUUUAUCAGUUGAAUUUUUUUUUUGGUUGGAAAACUUAUAUUAUAAGCAUUUAAGAAUGUUUCUGUGAAUUCGGAAAAACUUAGUUCUGGAUUCGAGUUAUCAGAAAAAUACUUGGCCAAGAUAUUUCAUUAAAUAGCUUGUUUGAAAACAUUUAUAUUUGCAUUAUUGAAUUUUCUAAUGUCUAUUAUU
Non-coding RNA from Paramuricea clavata, 257 nucleotides. NCBI's taxonomy places the organism in Eukaryota, Metazoa, Cnidaria, Anthozoa, Malacalcyonacea, Plexauridae. The record is from the annotation of a GenBank genome assembly.